GACGAACGCUGGCGGCGUGCUUAACACAUGCAAGUCGAACGGAAAGGCCCUGCUUUUGUGGGGUGCUCGAGUGGCGAACGGGUGAGUAACACGUGAGUAACCUGCCCUGGACUUUGGGAUAACUUCAGGAAACUUGGGCUAAUACCGGAUAGGAGCUCCUGCUGCAGGGUGGGGGUUGGAUAGUUUAGGCGGUAGGGGAUGGACUCGCGGCUUAUCAGCUUGUUGGUGGGGUAGUGGCUGACCAAGGCUUUGACGGGUAGCCGGCCUGAGAGGGUGACCAGCGACAUUGGGACUGAGAUACGGCCCAGACGCGUACGGGAGGCAGCGGUGGGGAAUAUUGCACAAUGGGCGGAAGCCUGAUGCAGCAACGCCGCGUGCGGGAUGACGGCCUUCGGGGUGUAAACCGCUUUCGCCUGUGACGAGGCGGGAGUGACGGUAAUGGGUAAAGAAGCACCGGCUAACUACGUG
Molecule: ribosomal RNA, 468 nt
Filed under: uncultured bacterium
Lineage: Bacteria
Description: partial 16S ribosomal RNA
Rfam family: Bacterial small subunit ribosomal RNA
Source: RNAcentral